UAGACCCGAAACCGGGUGAUCUAGCCAUGGGCAGGUUGAAGGUUGAGUAACAUCAACUGGAGGACCGAACCGACUAAUGUUGAAAAAUUAGCGGAUGACUUGUGGCUAGGGGUGAAAGGCCAAUCAAACUCGGAGAUAGCUGGUUCUCCCCGAAAGCUAUUUAGGUAGCGCCUCGGACGAAUACUACUGGGGGUAGAGCACUGUUAAGGCUAGGGGGUCAUCCCGACUUACCAACCCUUUGCAAACUCCGAAUACCAGUAAGUACUAUCCGGGAGACACACGGCGGGUGCUAACGUCCGUCGUGGAGAGGGAAACAACCCAGACCGCCAGCUAAGGUCCCAAAGUAUUGCUAAGUGGGAAACGAUGUGGGAAGGCUCAGACAGCUAGGAUGUUGGCUUAGAAGCAGCCAUCAUUUAAAGAAAGCGUAAUAGCUCACUAGUCGAGUCGGCCUGCGCGGAAGAUGUAACGGGGCUAAGCAAUACACCGAAGCUGCGGCAAUAUCUUUUAGAUAUUGGGUAGGGGAGCGUUCUGUAAGCCGUUGAAGGUGAAUCGUAAGGUUUGCUGGAGGUAUCAGAAGUGCGAAUGCUGACAUGAGUAACGACAAAGGGGGUGAAAAACCUCCUCGCCGGAAGACCAAGGGUUCCUGUCCAACGUUAAUCGGGGCAGGGUGAGUCGACCCCUAAGGUGAGGCCGAAAGGCGUAAUCGAUGGGAAACGGGUUAAUAUUCCCGUACUUCUGACUAUUGCGAUGGGGGGACGGAGAAGGCUAGGUGGGCCAGGCGACGGUUGUCCUGGUUCAAGUGCGUAGGCUUGAGAGUUAGGUAAAUCCGGCUCUCUCUAAGGCUGAGACACGACGUCGAGCUGCUACGGCAGUGAAGUCAUUGAUGCCAUGCUUCCAGGAAAAGCCUCUAAGCUUCAGAUAGUCAGGAAUCGUACCCCAAACCGACACAGGUGGUCGGGUAGAGAAUACCAAGGCGCUUGAGAGAACUCGGGUGAAGGAACUAGGCAAAAUGGUACCGUAACUUCGGGAGAAGGUACGCUCUUGAUGGUGAAGUCCCUCGCGGAUGGAGCUGACGAGAGUCGCAGAUACCAGGUGGCUGCAACUGUUUAUUAAAAACACAGCACUGUGCAAAAUCGCAAGAUGACGUAUACGGUGUGACGCCUGCCCGGUGCCGGAAGGUUAAUUGAUGGGGUUAGCGCAAGCGAAGCUCUUGAUCGAAGCCCCGGUAAACGGCGGCCGUAACUAUAACGGUCCUAAGGUAGCGAAAUUCCUUGUCGGGUAAGUUCCGACCUGCACGAAUGGCGUAAUGAUGGCCACGCUGUCUCCACCCGAGACUCAGUGAAAUUGAAAUCGCUGUGAAGAUGCAGUGUACCCGCGGCUAGACGGAAAGACCCCGUGAACCUUUACUACAGCUUGGCACUGAACAUUGAACCUACAUGUGUAGGAUAGGUGGGAGGCUAUGAAGACGUGACGCCAGUUGCGUUGGAGCCGUCCUUGAAAUACCACCCUUGUAUGUUUGAUGUUCUAACUUAGACCCAUUAUCUGGGUUGAGGACAGUGCCUGGUGGGUAGUUUGACUGGGGCGGUCUCCUCCCAAAGAGUAACGGAGGAGCACGAAGGUGGGCUAAUCACGGUUGGACAUCGUGAGGUUAGUGCAAUGGCAUAAGCCCGCUUAACUGCGAGAAUGACGGUUCGAGCAGGUGCGAAAGCAGGUCAUAGUGAUCCGGUGGUUCUGUAUGGAAGGGCCAUCGCUCAACGGAUAAAAGGUACUCCGGGGAUAACAGGCUGAUACCGCCCAAGAGUUCAUAUCGACGGCGGUGUUUGGCACCUCGAUGUCGGCUCAUCACAUCCUGGGGCUGAAGUCGGUCCCAAGGGUAUGGCUGUUCGCCAUUUAAAGUGGUACGCGAGCUGGGUUUAGAACGUCGUGAGACAGUUCGGUCCCUAUCUGCCGUGGGCGUUGGAAGAUUGAAGGGGGCUGCUCCUAGUACGAGAGGACCGGAGUGGACGAACCUCUGGUGUUCGGGUUGUGUCGCCAGACGCAUUGCCCGGUAGCUAAGUUCGGAAUUGAUAAGCGCUGAAAGCAUCUAAGCGCGAAGCGAGCCCUGAGAUGAGUCUUCCCUGA
This 2121-nucleotide ribosomal RNA is filed under the name Vibrio cholerae. RNAcentral's name for it is "partial 23S ribosomal RNA". It matches the Rfam family "Bacterial large subunit ribosomal RNA", at positions 710 to 2818 of the family's 2925-position model. The record is from RNAcentral. Lineage: Bacteria; Pseudomonadati; Pseudomonadota; Gammaproteobacteria; Vibrionales; Vibrionaceae.